This 460-nucleotide ribosomal RNA is filed under the name uncultured bacterium. Its description in RNAcentral is "partial 16S ribosomal RNA". It matches the Rfam family "Bacterial small subunit ribosomal RNA", at positions 338 to 795 of the family's 1533-position model. The record is from RNAcentral.
CCUACGGGUGGCAGCAGUGAGGAAUAUUGGACAAUGGGCGCGACCCUGAACCAGCGAAGUAGCGUGAAGGAUGAAUGAUCUACGGGUUGUAAACUUCUUUUAUAAAGGAAUAAAGUGAGGCUCGUGUGCCUUUUUGUAUGUACUUUAUGCAUAAGGAUCGGCUAACUCCGUGCCAGCAGCCGCGGUUAUACGGAGGAUCCGAGCGUUAUCCGGAUUGAUUGGGUUUAAAGGGAGCGUAGAUGGGGCGUUAAGUCAGUUGUGAAAGUUUGCGGCUCAACCGUGAAAUUGCAAUUGAUACUGGCAGGCUUGAGUACAGUUGAGGUAGGCGGAAUUCGUGGUGUAGCGGUGAAAUGCUUAGAUAUCACGAAGAACACCGAUUGCGAAGGCAGCCUACUAAACGGCCACUGACAUUGAUGCUCGAAAGUGUGGGUAGCAAACAGGAUUAGAUACCCGUGUAGUC